Molecule: ribosomal RNA, 119 nt
Filed under: Trypanosoma theileri
Lineage: Eukaryota; Euglenozoa; Kinetoplastea; Trypanosomatida; Trypanosomatidae
Source: RNAcentral
GGGUACGACCAUACUUGGCCGAAUGCACCAUAUCCCGUCCGAUUUGUGAAGUUAAGCGGCCACAGGUCUCGUUAGUACGGCGACCACGUACAGUGCUGGAACCCGGGGUGCCGUACCCU